RNAcentral lists this small RNA (140 nucleotides) under Paenibacillus sp. Its description in RNAcentral is "c-di-AMP sequence". It matches the Rfam family "c-di-AMP riboswitch aptamer (ydaO/yuaA leader)". From Rfam's summary of the family: This family represents a conserved RNA structure found upstream of the ydaO and yuaA genes in Bacillus subtilis and related genes in other bacteria. The ydaO/yuaA element is thought to act as a genetic "off" switch for the ydaO and yuaA genes in its native state. It is believed that the element may be triggered during osmotic shock leading to activation of ydaO, a predicted amino acid transporter gene, and members of the yuaA-yubG operon which code for KtrA and KtrB K+ transporters. The record is from RNAcentral. Lineage: Bacteria; Bacillati; Bacillota; Bacilli; Caryophanales; Paenibacillaceae.
UUGAAUACAUAGCUGAAUUUUCGAAAUGAAAAACGGGGGAACCAAACUUUAGGGGUGAAUCUGUACAACAAAGUACAGUAGGGUUAUUCUCACAGUCCGAAUCCGACAGCUAACCUCGUAAGCGGAUAGUGGGAGGGUAG